AGCCCCGUGGUGUAGUGGCAACAUAUUGGCCUUUGGAGCCAACGUCGGCGGUUCAAAUCCGCCCGGGGCUG
Thermoplasmatales archaeon SM1-50 is the source of this 71-nucleotide non-coding RNA. The record is from Rfam. NCBI's taxonomy places the organism in Archaea, Methanobacteriati, Thermoplasmatota, Thermoplasmata, Thermoplasmatales.